Molecule: long non-coding RNA, 404 nt
Filed under: Astyanax mexicanus (Mexican tetra)
Lineage: Eukaryota; Metazoa; Chordata; Actinopteri; Characiformes; Acestrorhamphidae
Description: lncRNA (ENSAMXG00005011380.1)
Source: RNAcentral
GUUAUUUUAUUAAACCACAUUGCUUAUAAAUUAUUAAUUUAUAAUUAAUUAUAAAUUAAAGUUUUCAGAGAGAAGAGAGCAGAGCCCAGUGAUGUGUCUGUGAAGAACUAUGGAGGAGGAAGCUCUGAAUCACGACUGCAGAAAUCCAGAGGAGAACCACCAGAACCCAGCUGUGUCUAUGAAGAGUGAUGACUCUAUGAGAACGCCUCCUACCUUCAGUGAUGGAGCAGAACCUCCAGAACCCAGCUGUGUGUCUAUGAAGAGUGACAACUCAAUGAGAACACCUCCUACCUUCAGUAAUGGAGCAGAACCUCCAGAACCCAGCUGUGUGUCUAUGAAGAGUGACAACUCAAUGAGAACGCCUCCUACCUUCAGUAAUGGAGCAGAACCUCCAGAACCCAGCU